UACGUAGGUGGCAAGCGUUGUCCGGAUUUACUGGGCGUAAAGAGCGCGCAGGCGGUCGUUCAAGUCGCGUGUGAAAGCCCCCGGCUCAACUGGGGAGGGUCACGCGAUACUGAUCGACUCGAAGGCAGGAGAGGGAAGUGGAAUUCCCGGUGUAGUGGUGAAAUGCGUAGAUAUCAUGAGGAAUACCAGAGGCGAAGGCGGCUACCUGGACAAUUGCUGACGCUCAGGCACGAAAGCGUGGGGAGCAAAAGGG
This 253-nucleotide ribosomal RNA is filed under the name uncultured bacterium. Its description in RNAcentral is "partial 16S ribosomal RNA". It matches the Rfam family "Bacterial small subunit ribosomal RNA", at positions 524 to 776 of the family's 1533-position model. The record is from RNAcentral.